AUCUAAGUAGCUUAUAAAGAGAGUAUAACAUUGAAGAUGUUAGGGAAGUAAUUUACUCUUAGAUA
This 65-nucleotide transfer RNA is filed under the name Vermileo comstocki. Its description in RNAcentral is "tRNA-Phe". Lineage: Eukaryota; Metazoa; Arthropoda; Insecta; Diptera; Vermileonidae. The record is from RNAcentral.